Molecule: small RNA, 1084 nt
Filed under: Pan troglodytes (chimpanzee)
Lineage: Eukaryota; Metazoa; Chordata; Mammalia; Primates; Hominidae
Description: processed transcript
Source: RNAcentral
GGAGAGAUCACUGCACACUGGCUCUUGACCAACAGCACAACAUCUGCAGAUGUGACAGGAAGCUCUGCUUCAUAUCCUGAAGGUGUGAAUGCUUCAGUGUUGACCCAGUUCUCAGACUCUACUGUACAGUCUGGAGGAAGUCACACAGCACUGGGAGAUAGGAGUUAUUCAGAGUCUUCAUCUACAUCUUCCUCGGAAAGCUUGAAUUCAUCAGCACCACGUGGAGAACGUUCGACCUUGGAAGACAGCCGAAAGCCAGGCCAAGCACUAGGUGACAGUUCCGCCAAUGCAGAGGACAGGACUUCUGGGGUGCCCUCUCUCGGCACCCACACCUUGGCUACUGUCACUGGAAACGGGGAACGCACACUGCGGUCUGUCACCCUCACCAACACCAGCAUGAGCACGACUUCUGGGGAAGCAGGCAGCCCUGCAGCGGCCAUGCCCCAAGAAACAGAGGGUGCCUCUCUGCACGUAAACGUGACGGACGACAUGGGCCUGGUCUCACGGUCACUGGCCGCCUCCAGUGCCCUCGGAGUCACUGGGAUUAGCUACGGUCAAGUGCGUGGCACGGCUAUUGAACAAAGGACUUCCAGCGACCACACAGACCACACCUACCUGUCAUCUACUUUCACCAAAGGAGAACGGGCAUUACUGUCCAUUACAGAUAACAGUUCAUCCUCAGACAUUGUGGAGAGCUCAACUUCUUAUAUUAAAAUCUCAAACUCUUCACAUUCAGAGUAUUCCUCCUUUUUUCAUGCUCAGACUGAGAGAAGUAACAUCUCAUCCUAUGACGGGGAAUAUGCUCAGCCUUCUACUGAGUCGCCAGUUCUGCAUACAUCCAACCUUCCAUCCUACACACCCACCAUUAAUAUGCCGAACACUUCGGUUGUUCUGGACACUGAUGCUGAGUUUGUUAGUGACUCCUCCUCCUCCUCCUCUUCCUCCUCUUCCUCCUCAUUCUCUUCUUCCUCCUCCUCCUCCUCCUCUUCUUCAGGGCCUCCUUUGCCUCUGCCCUCUGUGUCACAAUCCCACCAUUUAUUUUCAUCAAUUUUACCAUCAACCAGGGCCUCUGUGCAUCUACUAA